UUUUGGAGGCUACUUUGAUGAAAUAUCAUCAGAAAAAAACAAACAAACAAACAAACAAAACCCUGACAUUUGUUCAUCAUGAUGAAUUAGAUUAAUAAGGUCUAUUUUUAGGUCACCAUUUUGUUAAUGAAAUAGUUUCAGGCAACUGAUUUUGACUUGAUUUAAUUUAUUAAUCUUGGAGAGUUCCUGUUUCUAUUCCUGUUUCCAUGAACUGAAACUGCUCUAGCUGCAGGUUUACUAAUCCAGUGGACAUUUAUGCCCACAUCAGAAGAAACGAAACGGACAAAUGACUAAUAAUGAGAAGUUGACACCACCCUUUAUUUACCAGUGGUGGAAUCACAACAAAGGCGUUGAUGUUCUUUGGUGUCUUAUCCUCUUAUCAUCUUGGGUGUCUUUAUCCUCUUCAUCGUUGUGGAAAAUGGUUCUCAAAACUGACCUCAGAUAUUUGCUCGGCAGGAACCCUGUGGCGUCCACAGCAUCCUUUACCCUCAUUCUCUGGGCUGUUGAAAAGAUGGUGGAACUGGACUUUGUCUGUCCCUGCGUCGAGAAGUGGAACAUGUGGUUUUUUGAGUUGUACUUAGCUGGGCCUUCCUUGGCUUGUUUGGCUCUCAUGUGCUACUAUAUCAGGCCGAUGUCUUUGUGGAGCACCCUCCUUUGCCUUUCCUUGCCUUUAUUUUGGCUGCUGUUGAUCUUUUAUGAUGGUCGUUACCUUGCAUGUGGUCUUGCUGACUCAGACCACAAUGUCACCAUCAUCAUUGACAAACAAAGUCCUUGGAAGGUAUGUGGGUCUAGCAGUGAAGUGACCCCAGAGACCAGUCUUGAAGUUCCAGACUUUGUGUUGUGGAGUCGGUUGAUCGUCCUUGUCAUAGUUCUGAGCUUGUCCUCUAUCGGAGUAGUCUUGCAAAUGGUGGAAAGGACCAAAGAGAGCUUCAGCACAAAAUGGAGGCAGCCAGGAUUGCACUUCAACCAGAUAUGAAGAUGCUGCCAAGGGUGUAGUAGAUGUUGUGCAAACAACUCUUACUGAACCUUUCAGCAGUCAAUGGCAUAUGUCAUUAGUUCAUUAGUUAUAUUCUUUUCUCAGUGAUAACAUUCCCUUAGCUUCGCUGAAGUGCACUCUUUUAUCAGAUAAAUUGGUUAUAGUCAGUUUCAAGCCUCAACACUGUUGUACAAUGUAACAAAAUGUAUUAUGUUUAUACACAGUGUUAUUGUACUGUUAUUCUUUUACAAACUAGAUGUACCGCAGAGCGGUACAAAAUAUGACCGCCACCCAGUCCAGCACAUUUUUUCCACAAAAAUAAAUCACGCUGAAAGGCCUAUAUGAUUC
Long non-coding RNA from Alosa sapidissima (American shad), 1324 nucleotides. RefSeq lists it as uncharacterized. NCBI's taxonomy places the organism in Eukaryota, Metazoa, Chordata, Actinopteri, Clupeiformes, Clupeidae. The record is from RefSeq and is a predicted model, not a curated record. The transcript is spliced from 2 exons.